UUCAUAUCGUACACUUGUAAUUCGUGCAUUGAAAUUUCCAGUUACUUCCUGUUGCCUGCCUACAAAUCAUCUCAAGGAAAAAAUAAGAGCACUCUGUAGGAUUUAUCUGGCUAUUUUGGAUGUGACAUGUUUAUUUUGGUUUCCGUUACAUGGUAUAGAGUGAGUGUAAUGUGUUUGCAGUUUACCUGUGUGUGACUGAUUCCGGAUGUGUCAAGUUGCAACAUUA
This is a non-coding RNA of Pelobates cultripes (western spadefoot toad), 226 nucleotides long. NCBI's taxonomy places the organism in Eukaryota, Metazoa, Chordata, Amphibia, Anura, Pelobatidae. The record is from the annotation of a GenBank genome assembly.